This is a long non-coding RNA of Ostrinia nubilalis (European corn borer), 347 nucleotides long. RefSeq lists it as uncharacterized. The record is from RefSeq and is a predicted model, not a curated record. Lineage: Eukaryota; Metazoa; Arthropoda; Insecta; Lepidoptera; Crambidae. The transcript has 3 exons.
CGUCAUCAGAAAAACAAUAUACAGAAAGUGACAUUUUAAUUUGCACAAUGAGGUGAAAAAUCGAGAGGGAAAAUCCGGAAAACUAACACCGAUAACACGAAUAAAUAAAGUAGAAUAUGAACCUGACACUGCAACAACAAUCUGAAACUGGCGCUUAUCUACACUACUUAUUUGAUAUCAAAACUAAGUACGAGUAAUCAGAUAUCCAGUUUGAUAAAAAUGCAAAUCCACACUUCAAGUGCCUCAAGUAAUCUAAAGAAUCGUGUCUUCAUCCAGCUCGUGUCCCAACAUCUCCAGGAUGGUGCCGAUCAUGUCUGUGCUGAUGAUGCCUUUCUUCUCGUGGUCGA